UUGCGGCAACGGUCGGGUAAAGGUGCCGGAAACGGGCGGAAGUGGAGAAGCCACACUGCUCUCGAGUUGUCUGCGUCAUCCUCGAGGGCGGUAAAAGCCGGCCGGCGUGCUCGAUGUGUGCAUCACGCAUCGGCGCUCGUCAGGCCGCCCAGCUUUGGCAGACUGGCCGUGUUUGUGCUCAUACUCUCAGCCUCUCGGGUGACACAGCGCUGGCGUGAAGAGUCGCAUCAAGGCGUCCAAGCUGGCGGAGUUGAGGAGCCACCUCUAUUUGAGGCCGAGUGUGUGCAUGGUCGGAUAGAGAUGAGAGCGAAGAAGCGGAAGCGAGAGUGGGAGCUCUUGCGGAUCGCAUUGGAGGGGGCGAUUGUUGAAUCCCCUCAAGCCGUGCCGAUCUUUGUCCGUGGCGCCGAUCUGGAGUCCGGCAAGAGUUCCUCCGACUCUGUCACCUCCAACGCGGGCAGCGCUAAGGCUGCAGCCGACGACGUGAUUCAUAUCGCGCAUGCCCUCUGUAAGGUUUGCGCCAAGUCUCCUAAAGCCGUCAACGAGUUUGUUCGAAGAGUGAGCCCUGCCACCGUCGGCCGUUCAAUUGAUUGGGACCUCGUCCGCGACAACAACUCAUCGAAGGCAUGGGAGAACCUGGCGAAAAAAAUGUACAGCAAGUGCAGGAAGAGAGUGAACAAGGCUCAAUUGGAGUACAUUUGGGAGCAGUGUAAGAAGCGGUUCCACAUGUGGGUGUGGCUAGAAUCGCAGGCUACCGGGCUGGGUCGUGAUCCCCUUACUUCAGCCAUUGUCGCUAAUGAUUCGUGGUGGGAAAGCAAGAAUGCGGUCAAGAAAGGUGUGAUCAGCUUAAAAAAUGAUCCUCUCAAGCACAUUGAUCUUCACCACGUGAGCCGUGCAAUAGAGGCAGAGGCAGCUAAGGCUACAGGGCUUGAGGCUUGCUUGGAGUUGGUGGAAAAUGAUAGGCACCCUACUGGAGGCCCGGUGUGUAGUAUGGUUACAUUUUUCAUUGCAAUUAAUAUUUUUGAUACAUUCGAUAAUGACAAUGCUUGUGCUGGUGGAUCGAGUUGGACGGGAGGUCAUACAAGCAGCGACGAGGACGAUGCCAUCAUUGCUAGUUUUGAUAUUAAUGAGAGAGCACCAAGGAGAAUACCAGUAUAA
Molecule: long non-coding RNA, 1155 nt
Filed under: Oryza sativa Indica Group (long-grained rice)
Lineage: Eukaryota; Viridiplantae; Streptophyta; Magnoliopsida; Poales; Poaceae
Description: lncRNA OsZS97_12G014650
Source: RNAcentral